Molecule: ribosomal RNA, 460 nt
Filed under: uncultured bacterium
Lineage: Bacteria
Description: bacterial SSU rRNA
Rfam family: Bacterial small subunit ribosomal RNA
Source: RNAcentral
AACGAACGCUGGCGGCAUGCCUAACACAUGCAAGUCGAACGGGAUCCUAGCUUGCUAGGUGAGAGUGGCGGACGGGUGAGUAACACGUGGGAAUCUGCCUUUUGGUUCGGGAUAACCGCGGGAAACUGCGGCUAAUACCGAAUGCCCUCGAGAGAGGAAAGAUUUAUCGCCAGAAGAGGAGCCCGCGUCCGAUUAGGUAGUUGGUGGGGUAAAGGCCUACCAAGCCGACGAUCGGUAGCUGGUCUGAGAGGAUGAUCAGCCACACUGGGACUGAGAUAUGGCCCAGACUCCUACGGGAGGCAGCAGUGGGGAAUAUUGGACAAUGGGGGCGAACCCUGAUCCAGCAAUGCCGCGUGAGUGAUGAAGGCCUUAGGGUUGUAAAGGCUCUUUUGCCAGGGAAGAUGAUGACUGUACCUGGAGAAUAAGCCCCGGCUAACUUCGUGCCAGCAGCCGCGGUAAU